This 427-nucleotide ribosomal RNA is filed under the name uncultured bacterium. RNAcentral's name for it is "partial 16S ribosomal RNA". It matches the Rfam family "Bacterial small subunit ribosomal RNA", at positions 355 to 774 of the family's 1533-position model. The record is from RNAcentral.
UGGGGAAUAUUGCACAAUGGGCGCAAGCCUGAUGCAGCCAUGCCGCGUGUAUGAAGAAGGCCUUCGGGUUGUAAAGUACUUUCAGCGGGGAGGAAGGCGAUAAGGUUAAUAACCUUGUCGAUUGACGUUACCCGCAGAAGAAGCACCGGCUGACUCCGUGCCAGCAGCCGCGGUAAUACGGAGGGUGCAAGCGUUAAUCGGAAUUACUGGGCGUAAAGCGCACGCAGGCGGUCUGUCAAGUCGGAUGUGAAAUCCCCGGGCUCAACCUGGGAACUGCAUUCGAAACUGGCAGGCUAGAGUCUUGUAGAGGGGGGUAGAAUUCCAGGUGUAGCGGUGAAAUGCGUAGAGAUCUGGAGGAAUACCGGUGGCGAAGGCGGCCCCCUGGACAAAGACUGACGCUCAGGUGCGAAAGCGUGGGGAGCAAACA